Molecule: ribosomal RNA, 237 nt
Filed under: uncultured bacterium
Lineage: Bacteria
Description: partial 16S ribosomal RNA
Rfam family: Bacterial small subunit ribosomal RNA
Source: RNAcentral
GUUGUCCGGAAUUAUUGGGCGUAAAGAGCUCGUAGGCGGUUUGUCGCGUCUGUCGUGAAAGCUUGGGGCUUAACCCCAAGUCUGCGGUGGAUACGGGCAGACUAGAGGCAGGUAGGGGAGAACGGAAUUCCCGGUGUAGCGGUGAAAUGCGCAGAUAUCGGGAGGAGCACCGGUGGCGAAGGCGGUUCUCUGGGACUGUACUGACGCUGAGGAGCGAAAGCGUGGGGAGCGAACAGG